This 253-nucleotide ribosomal RNA is filed under the name uncultured bacterium. RNAcentral describes it as "partial 16S ribosomal RNA". It matches the Rfam family "Bacterial small subunit ribosomal RNA", at positions 524 to 776 of the family's 1533-position model. The record is from RNAcentral.
UACGAAGGGGGCUAGUGUUGUCCGGAAUUACUGGGCGUAAAGAGCUCGUAGGUGGUUUGUCGCGUUGUUCGUGAAAACUCACGGCUUAACUGUGAGCGUGCGGGCGAUACGGGCAGACUGGAGUACUGCAGGGGAGACUGGAAUUCCUGGUGUAGCGGUGGAAUGCGCAGAUAUCAGGAGGAACACCGGUGGCGAAGGCGGGUCUCUGGGCAGUAACUGACGCUGAGGAACGAAAGCGUGGGGAGCAAACAGG